Molecule: unclassified non-coding RNA, 1605 nt
Filed under: Leishmania donovani
Lineage: Eukaryota; Euglenozoa; Kinetoplastea; Trypanosomatida; Trypanosomatidae
Description: gene:unknown
Source: RNAcentral
CUAAUAUGAAGGACAUUGUAGAAGGAGGCCGGCAAGAGAGAGAAUGUGGAAAGAACACAUGGUGGAACACAGGUUCAUUUAGUUCCCUUCAAAGGCUGGUUUUCACAGAUUCAGAUGAUUCUUUUUUCUGAUAGAGUUCUGACAGCGCUGGAAGUGGCUAGUAUCGGUUUAAUAGGCCCCUUUGCUUAAUGUGUAUGUUCUGUUUCGCGCUGCCUCCUCGAUGAGUCAAGGUGUAACAUGAAGGUGUCCAAGAUGUGUCACCGACAGAAAAAAGCAUGCGUCGAAAAAGUUGCUUGGUGCAAAGCAAAGCGAGAAGUUGCGAACACAGUGGAAACACGCCAUUUUUCUGCUCCUGAGACACUUGCAAGAUGGAGUGGCUGGCACACCAGUGUCAUUCUUGUAUUUGCUAUGCGAAGCGAAAGACUACGCCACUGGCUCAUGGACCAUGAAACAAUGUUUUUGAGAACGCUUCUCGGGGCGUUUCCUCGCCACUUCCCCCCCCCCGCUCGGCGCCGCCCCUUGACAUCCGAGCCCUCUUCGCGAUAAUCAUUCGCCUCUGCUUUUGACUGUUUAUGCGCCCCUGCAUGCUUGCCCACAUAAUCCCUCUUUCUCUCCCCGACAAUCUUCAGAGCGCUGAUCAGGCACUCGCCUCUUGACGUCCAUAUCUAUGAAAUGCUCUGCAGAGACGCAAAAUAUCACGUUUCCUCUUUCACCCAAGGCCAUCAAGAGGAUAAAAAAAUAAAGCGUCUAAAUGCACCGCUUCUCAAGCUACACCCUCCACUGCCUUUUUCUUCUGGGUACUCUCCGUAAGCUGCGCACCAUAAGCCCGAAGGCAAACAGCCCCCAGGGCCGGAACGACCGCCACGAAGACCCCGCCGCCACCACCAGCCCCAACCACAAAGCACGACCCCCAGGCGAGUAAUCGAAAACCCGAAAAAACGCAUAAGCAUACAAGGCACCUGAAGCAGCAGAAAUUCCCGUUCUCGAAGUCCAAGUGGAUCAUGACCGAAGCAGCAACACAGCACCAAGCCCCUCGCACAGCCGCUGUGCGCUUUCGGCCAAAACCACACCCUGCGGAAUUUUCCCCGCCCCGAACUCUACCCCUAUGUAAUGGCCUUUUGUGCGUCCAGAAAGUGUCGGCAAGGGGGUCGAAAGGCGGUUGAUUUAUUUCAUCCUCAGCGCCCUCUUUUCUUUCCGCGACAGACUUUGACGGGGUAAUUCCACAUGGGUCCGGCGACUUUGGUUUGUGAGAGUUGACAUUUGAUUGACGUUUUGAAAGCGGCACCAAGCACCAACCCAGAACCCCCAUCCAGAACGUCCUAUUGAAUGCACAAAAAGCGUGUAUGCGCAAUAGAAAGCUCGCGUUGGCAUGCUUCUUUUCCUUCAUAAUGCUCUUUUUUGACCUUGAGUGCUUUGAUCAGGUUUUUCUGCCUUCGAAGCAAAAUAUCAAACUGGCUCAAACACGGCGCUUUUAAGCGCACAAAGAUUGAUAACUUGCGCCAUCUGUUUACCAAGCGGUUGCGAGAAGUCAAACAAAACAGUGAGCAACAGAUGCGUUUUCACACCGCGAAAAGAUCGCAGCGCACGAGGUAGCGCAGGGAUCAG